This 253-nucleotide ribosomal RNA is filed under the name uncultured bacterium. RNAcentral's name for it is "partial 16S ribosomal RNA". It matches the Rfam family "Bacterial small subunit ribosomal RNA", at positions 524 to 776 of the family's 1533-position model. The record is from RNAcentral.
UACGGGGGGGGCAAGCGUUGUUCGGAAUUACUGGGCGUAAAGGGCGCGUAGGCGGCCUUCUAAGUCGGACGUGAAAUCCCUCGGCUUAACCGAGGAACUGCGUCCGAGACUGAAAGGCUUGAAUCCAGGAGAGGGAUGUGGAAUUCCAGGUGUAGCGGUGAAAUGCGUAGAUAUCUGGAGGAACACCGGUGGCGAAGGCGGCAUCCUGGACCGGCAUUGACGCUGAGGAGCGAAAGCCAGGGGAGCAAACGGG